GAUGAACGCUGGCGGCGUGCUUAACACAUGCAAGUCGAACGGAAAGGCCCAAGCUUGCUUGGGUACUCGAGUGGCGAACGGGUGAGUAACACGUGGGUGAUCUGCCCUGCACUUCGGGAUAAGCCUGGGAAACUGGGUCUAAUACCGGAUAGGACCACAUCUUGGAUGGUGUGGUGGAAAGUUUUUCGGUGUGGGAUGAGCUCGCGGCCUAUCAGCUUGUUGGUGGGGUAAUGGCCUACCAAGGCGUCGACGGGUAGCCGGCCUGAGAGGGUGUACGGCCACAUUGGGACUGAGAUACGGCCCAGACUCCUACGGGAGGCAGCAGUGGGGAAUAUUGCACAAGGGGCGCAAGCCUGAUGCAGCGACGCCGCGUGGGGGAUGACGGCCUUCGGGUUGUAAACUCCUUUCGCUAGGGACGAAGCGUUAUGUGACGGUACCUGGAGAAGAAGCACCGGCUAACUACGUG
Molecule: ribosomal RNA, 466 nt
Filed under: uncultured bacterium
Lineage: Bacteria
Description: partial 16S ribosomal RNA
Rfam family: Bacterial small subunit ribosomal RNA
Source: RNAcentral